Long non-coding RNA from Anguilla rostrata (American eel), 988 nucleotides. RefSeq lists it as uncharacterized. Lineage: Eukaryota; Metazoa; Chordata; Actinopteri; Anguilliformes; Anguillidae. The transcript is spliced from 2 exons. The record is from RefSeq and is a predicted model, not a curated record.
CGUCACACUGGAUGGUUUCAGAUCUUUAGACAAAAUGUAAUUUUAGACAGAGGGAACCUGAGUGAACUCAAGAUACACUUUUGAAAAUUAUUACAUUUUAUGAGAAAAAAAAGAUCACUGAUAUCACCCAUGUUAAAAAGUAAUUGCCCCCUUACACUUAACUGGUUGCACAAUCGUCAGCAGCGAUAACUGCAAGCUAACAAUGUGGAGGAAUCUUAGCCCAAUUUUCUUUGCAGAACUGCUUUAUGUAAUUCAGAUAAAUUGGUAGGUUUUGGACCAGAGAUCAGACCACUCCAAAACUUUCAUUUUGUUUCUUUUCAGUCAUUCAUAUGUGGACUUGCUUUUCUGUUUUGGAUCAUUGUCUUGUAGCACAACCCAAUUAGGCUUCAGCUCACAGACAGAUGACCAGACACUCUCCUUAAGAAUUUUCAGAUACAGAGCAGAAAUCAAUGGUGGCAAGUCACACAGAUCCCAAGGCAGUAUUGCAUCCCCACACCAUCACACUGCUACCACCAUGUUUGACUGUUGGUAUGAUGUUCUUGCUGUGAAAUCCUGUAUUUGCUUUAUACCAGACAUAAUGGGACCAAUGUCACCCAAAAAGUUCCACUUUUGACUAAUCUUUCCAUAGAACAUUAUCCCAAAAGGCGUGGGGAUUAUUCGGGUACUUUUUUUUUUUUUUUUUGAAAAUGUAAGGCAAGCACUGAUGUUUCUCUGGGUUAGCAGUGGCUUCCUCCUCGCUACUCUCUCAUUAAUCAUAUUUUUGCCCAGUGUUUUUCUUACUGUGGAGUCAUGAACACUAACCUUAGCCGAGGACUGCAGUUCUUUGGAUGUUCUUCCGGGAUCUUUUGUGCUGGAUGAGCCUUGCAGAAAUUCUGGCAGGUUGAUCAACCCUGGGAAGUGUUCUUCAUUUGGAGGUCGUUGAUGCUGAUACUCAUCUGGAGCUUUGACACAAUGCAUGCUAGCUAAAUAAAGCUGUACAUACAGAUUA